Molecule: transfer RNA, 73 nt
Filed under: Diaphorina citri (Asian citrus psyllid)
Lineage: Eukaryota; Metazoa; Arthropoda; Insecta; Hemiptera; Psyllidae
Rfam family: tRNA
About the family: Transfer RNA (tRNA) molecules are approximately 80 nucleotides in length.
Source: Rfam by way of RNAcentral
GCCUAGUUAGCUUAGUUGGUAGUGCGUCUGCCUUGUAAGCGUUAGGCCGCGGUUUCGAUUUCCGCCCGGGGCG